Long non-coding RNA from Oreochromis aureus, 495 nucleotides. The record is from Ensembl. NCBI's taxonomy places the organism in Eukaryota, Metazoa, Chordata, Actinopteri, Cichliformes, Cichlidae.
GGCGGUUAACGACAUGCUCACUUUACUUGGACGUUUUCUAAUCGUCUUCUUUGGAAUAUGCUUUCAAGGUCUGUGAAGCCAAACUUGAUGCUGGGGAUUUAUUUUUGUCAGUGGAGUCAAAUGGUUGAAGCAGAAUUUGCCCGUCUUACAUCUGUUGACCUGAAAGGGUUCCUUUUGCUGUGCUUGACCAUUGUGGAGAGGUUCGUGGAGCUGUACAAAAUCAAGAGCAGCAUAGGAGGGCUAACUAGGCUCAUAAGAUGCUUCAAUGAUGAUAGCCCUACACAAAGGAAGAGGACAGAGGACCUCAUUUUCUAAAGGAAGAUCCCUCACACACUUUCAAGACUGUGAAGCCGACAGGUAUUGAAGACACGUUUUCUAAGAGGACGAAAGUUGGCAUUGCGAUGGUGAAAGAAGAAGACAUCAUCGAUGUGUUGGUUGUCCUUGAGGCGGCAGUAAUCCUGUCUAAUCUGAGGGAUGUCUCAAGUGCCAUUUCCA